This is a small nuclear RNA of Hippoglossus stenolepis (Pacific halibut), 160 nucleotides long. RefSeq annotates it as U1 spliceosomal RNA. The record is from RefSeq and is a predicted model, not a curated record. Lineage: Eukaryota; Metazoa; Chordata; Actinopteri; Pleuronectiformes; Pleuronectidae. The transcript has a single exon.
AUACUUACCUGGCAGGGGAGAUACCAUGAUCAUGAAGGUGGUUCACCAGGCGAGGCUCAGCCAUUGCACGCCCGGUUGUGCUGACCCGUCUGCGAAUUCCCCAAAUGUGGGGAAUCUCAUUAUAAUUUGUGGUAGUGGGGGACUGCGUCGCUCUCCCUGA